This 79-nucleotide ribosomal RNA is filed under the name Triticum aestivum (bread wheat). RNAcentral's name for it is "rRNA LSU_rRNA_eukarya". It matches the Rfam family "Bacterial large subunit ribosomal RNA", at positions 1920 to 1999 of the family's 2925-position model. The record is from RNAcentral. Lineage: Eukaryota; Viridiplantae; Streptophyta; Magnoliopsida; Poales; Poaceae. RNAcentral also lists the same sequence under 1 other name.
UCUGUCCAGGUGGCAGUAACUCUAACUGUCCUAAGGUAGCAAAAUUCCUUGUCGCAUAAGUAGCGACCUGCACGAAUGG